Molecule: long non-coding RNA, 552 nt
Organism: Lolium rigidum
Lineage: Eukaryota; Viridiplantae; Streptophyta; Magnoliopsida; Poales; Poaceae
Exons: 3
Source: RefSeq, a predicted model, not a curated record
UCGCCGGCCGCCACCAGCCCCGCCGCCUCUCCCUGGUCUAUCUCCGUCGCCGACCCCGCCGUCCCGCGCCUCCAUAGCUUCCGCGAGCGGAACCCUAGCACCCCCAUCCGGCCGCCGUCGUGGACGAACCAACCUGGCCUCGAUCAGCUCUCCUGCUCCCCGACCUCCCUGCACGGCUGCCCCCACCCUUCUCCGGCGCGGUCCGGCUCCGGCGCUCGUCCAGGAGGAGGACGCCGACCGGUCCCUCCAGAUGCGCCCGUCUCCUCCGACAACCGCUCGCCUCUGCUCGGGAAAGAUGCUGGUGUAGCCUGACGGAGCCGCAUCACGCCGGAGAGGCGAGCCAUGGCCGACCACCAGAACGCGAGUCACAGACGGGAGAUGGCCUUAAUUAACCGCCACCAAUUUCCACCCUCGGCACGAGCAGCAGCUCCGUUGUCCCCUCCGACACGCACGCUGUGACACACGUGGAGAAUUGCAGACCAAGGCGGCGGUGGGUUUAGGAACGCAGACUAGUUCCACUUGGACAACGCUAGGGACAAGAACGACUACGGC